RNAcentral lists this unclassified non-coding RNA (226 nucleotides) under Hevea brasiliensis (rubber tree). Lineage: Eukaryota; Viridiplantae; Streptophyta; Magnoliopsida; Malpighiales; Euphorbiaceae. The record is from RNAcentral.
GUAUGGGAGGUCUCUAUUAAGUGAAUCUUUGAUAGCCAUGUUUGAGUUUUCUCUCACUCUUCGAUCAGCAUCUCCUCGGAUUGUGCUUUAUCGUCAGUUGGCAGAGGAAUCUCUUUCUUCUUUUCCACUUACUGAUGAUAACAGCUCAAGCUCUCCUGAUGAAGGAGUACUUCAGCAAAGUGAUAAUGCAAAGAACAAAAAGGUUAACCCCCUGCUUGUUGGUGAG